RNAcentral lists this ribosomal RNA (273 nucleotides) under uncultured bacterium. RNAcentral's name for it is "partial 16S ribosomal RNA". It matches the Rfam family "Bacterial small subunit ribosomal RNA", at positions 524 to 796 of the family's 1533-position model. The record is from RNAcentral.
GACGAAGGAUGCAAGCGUUAUCCGGAUUCAUUGGGUUUAAAGGGUGCGUAGGCGGACUUGUAAGUCAGUGGUGAAAUCUCUUUGCUUAACAAAGAAACUGCCAUUGAUACUGCAGGUCUAGAGUAUAGAUGACGUUGGCGGAAUAUGACAUGUAGUGGUGAAAUACUUAGAUAUGUCAUAGAACACCGAUUGCGAAGGCAGCUAACGAAACUAUAACUGACGCUGAGGCACGAAAGUGCGGGGAUCAAACAGGAUUAGAUACCCCCGUAGUCC